ACCCUACAGCCUGUUCUGCUGCUGCUGAGCCCAAAGUUUUCGAAAGUUUCCUAGAGGUGACGCAGUUUAACUCUUUCCUGGCGAAGGUCUGGGCCUUGGAAGCUUUCUGCUGAUCCUCAGCGUCCACAGUCGUAGAGGACUCGCCUCUGACUCGCCUGCGUGAGACGAUCUGUAGACAGCGAAUUCCUAGCAGUGGCUGUCAUCUCCUGAGGUCUCCCGCUGGCGUGGAUGACCCCGGGAUCAGCGGUUGCCCUGCCCUCGAGAGUAAAAAGAGAAGCCCAGGAGCGUAACACACUGACAAACUCAGACAGUUGUCAGAGAACAAAAACCGAGCAUGGUGGUGCAAGCCUGUAAUACCGGCACUUUGGAGGAUGGACAUGGUGGGUUCAAAGCCGCCUUGAACUACACAGUGAGACCCUGUCUCAAAAAGCCCAAUGAGCCACCUUCCCAGUGAGGCCUGUCCUGUCCAGCUGCAGACACCAGUGUGGCACUCAUCUUUGCUCCAUUUGGACAUGAUUUCUUCAUCCUGCUUUCCAAUUAACUGGCUUAUGUUGUUGCCAGAAUCCUCCUGCAGUCCAUUAUCAUCUGUUUCAUGCAGCAUUCAACUUCCAGGGGUCAGCUGUGUGCUGGAACUUAGUAGGGUCUCAUUAAAUAUUGGCUCUUUAGGACAGAUAUUAUGUGUCCUGGCCAGGGUCCACAGGUGGGAGGCUGCAGCACCCAAACUCAAAGCCUGGGGCAUCUACCCAAGGCCCAGGGUUGCCAGCCAGAUGCACCUCUCACCCUCAGGGCUGGGCAAUGGCUUGGUGGGCUGCAAAGUGCGAUUACUUGGAACAGAAAUCAGGACAGAACUUGCAAAGCUGCAUUAGUGUAGCUGCUCUCUGAUCAAUUAUGCUUGCUCCAGUAAAAACAAAUGCAGGCUGAGUAAGGAGAAAGAGACUUUCUUCCAGAGGAUUACUGAGAGGAGGCAGGGAAGAAGGACCAUGGCAGUGCGGGGAGCCCUCUGACCACAUGAGCUGUGACAUCUCCAUGUUUAUACACAAAGUUUUUCUUUCAUACAGAGGGGUAAAGAAAGCUAGAAAGAAACUGCUGUGUGGUGGAAGAGGGGGGAAUAUUGCCCCCAGGGCCAGUCUGUUCUCAGGAAGGGCCAGCUGCUGCCUCUGGCAGGAGGGACCCAUAUUUAUUCAAAGCCCUGCAGGAGGCAGAGAAGUUUACUUAAAGUUUGGUCAACAAGAAUUGUGUUCCAGCUGAUCCCUGGGGAGAAGCAGUUCAGCUCAUGGUGUAUGACGUGAAGAAAGGAAUUCGAAGGGCCUGACUGUGGUCCUGUAAUUCUCAUGGAGGUGGGGAGACAUCUGUGAGUCUCCUUUAAGUCAAUAUGGAAAAGGGAGGAGGUCUUUACAUUGGUCAUUUUCUAGCACAUGCUCAACGAAGCAGUUUCUUAAUCUUCUCUGUUUUCCAGGAGCGCGGGUCUUGUUCCAGGUGAGAUGGAAGUAGAAAACAUCAAUGGGGUUUCUGUGAAAGCUCUUAGAACAGGGGUGUCUGGAAAAGCUUUCUUAACCUUUUCUCCUGUUGCCUGGAAUAAAGAUGUGAUGGUAAAA
Cavia porcellus (domestic guinea pig) is the source of this 1595-nucleotide long non-coding RNA. RefSeq lists it as uncharacterized. The transcript is spliced from 3 exons. NCBI's taxonomy places the organism in Eukaryota, Metazoa, Chordata, Mammalia, Rodentia, Caviidae. The record is from RefSeq and is a predicted model, not a curated record.